This 23-nucleotide non-coding RNA is filed under the name Arabidopsis thaliana (thale cress). Lineage: Eukaryota; Viridiplantae; Streptophyta; Magnoliopsida; Brassicales; Brassicaceae. The record is from RNAcentral.
GAGGACUUCCUCAAAGGGGUGUU